Ribosomal RNA from Bison bison bison, 103 nucleotides. NCBI's taxonomy places the organism in Eukaryota, Metazoa, Chordata, Mammalia, Artiodactyla, Bovidae. The record is from Ensembl.
GCCUACAGCCACACCACCCUCAACACUCCCGAUCUUGUCUGUUCUUGGAAGCUAAACAGGGUCCGGCCUGGUUAGUACAUUGGAAGCACUGAUGUUGAAGUUG